This 450-nucleotide ribosomal RNA is filed under the name uncultured bacterium. RNAcentral's name for it is "bacterial SSU rRNA". It matches the Rfam family "Bacterial small subunit ribosomal RNA", at positions 354 to 796 of the family's 1533-position model. The record is from RNAcentral.
GUGGGGAAUAUUCCGCAAUGGACGAAAGUCUGACGGAGCAACGCCGCGUGAGUGAUGAAGGUUUUCGGACUGUAAAGCUCUGUUGUUUAGGACGAAAGUGCCUGUUGCAAAUAGUUACAGGUAUUGACGGUACUGAACGAGGAAGCCACGGCUAACUACGUGCCAGCAGCCGCGGUAAUACGUAGGUGGCAAGCGUUGUCCGGAAUUAUUGGGCGUAAAGAGCAUGUAGGCGGGAAUCUAAGUCUGUUGUGAAAAUGCGGGGCUCAACCCCGUAUUGCGAUGGAAACUGGGUUUCUUGAGUGCAGGAGAGGAAAGGGGAAUUCCCAGUGUAGCGGUGAAAUGCGUAGAUAUUGGGAGGAACACCAGUGGCGAAGGCGCCUUUCUGGACUGUGUCUGACGCUGAGAUGCGAAAGCCAGGGUAGCGAACGGGAUUAGAAACCCCAGUAGUCC